Takifugu rubripes (torafugu) is the source of this 47-nucleotide non-coding RNA. The record is from Rfam. Lineage: Eukaryota; Metazoa; Chordata; Actinopteri; Tetraodontiformes; Tetraodontidae.
UCAAAGGCUCUUUUCAGAGCCACCACAGCAUCUGAGAGAACAACAUU